Molecule: long non-coding RNA, 3511 nt
Filed under: Podarcis lilfordi (Lilford's wall lizard)
Lineage: Eukaryota; Metazoa; Chordata; Lepidosauria; Squamata; Lacertidae
Source: RNAcentral
UUCAGUUGUCAUGGCAACAAAGGAGUACUAAGUCCUAGCAGCUGUCCCCACCCUUCAAUCUGGUAAGAAAAGCUUUCAAAACCACCACAGGUGUUUUCUGGAUGUGGAGGCAACUGGAUGUGAAGGCAAUCUGGGAUGCUAGGGAUCUUGCUAUUGCAAAUCAUUUAACAUAGGUAUGUAUGUUCAUGUAGGAACCAGUUUCGUUUAGGACCAGUGUGCCGAAGGUAGCAAGACUGAUGUACAAUUAUGGUGAUUUGUUCCCAGUUCAGGAAGGCAGAAAACAGUGAAUGCCGUAAAACCAUUGUUUUGUCUGCCCUGUUUCCUGAUAAGGCAUGAAUUUGGCUCCCCUGGUUACAUUUGCUUCCCAUCUCUCUUACACUCACAACCUCCUUUCAGCCAUGGCAUCUCUUUAAGUGUUGGUGUUGACCUUUAAAGCCCUAAACGGCCUUGGUCCAGUAUACCUGAACGAGCAGCUCCACCCCCAUCGUUCUGCCCGGACACUGAGGUCCAGCGCCGAGGGCCUUCUGGCAGUUCCCUCGCUGCGAGAAGCCAAGUUACAGGGAACCAGGCAGAGGGCCUUCUCGGUAGUGGCCCCGCCCUGUGGAACGCCCUCCAAACAGAUGUCAAGGAAAUAAACAAGUAUCUGACGUUUAGAAGACAUCUGAAGGCAGCCCUCUUUGGGGAAGUUUUUAAUGACUGAUGUUUUAAUGUAUUUUUAAUCUUUGUUGGAAGCUGCCCAGAGUGGCUGGGGAAACCCAGCCAGAUGGGCAGGGUAUAAAUAAAUUGAAUUUGAUCCAUUUUGAACUUAUGUUGUGGGAAGGAAGGAAAAUAUCAUUACUUCAACUUAGGUUAUACUAACUCCUCACCAAGAAACAGUUACUCCUGGUAAAAUAGUAAAUACCACUUCUGUGGUAAUUUAUUUCCCUUUUGUAAUUACUCUCAGUGUAAUAUUUAUUUAUUGCAUUUUUUAUUUAUUAUGUUAACCUUUUACAAAAACACUCGGCACCAACACCCUCUGUGUUCCCGGCCUGUUACACGAGAAUUGGCAGACCAUCCCUUUUCCUUAACCCCUCACGGGUAGGUGAGCCAUGUCAGUUGCGGUUCUCUCCUUUUCUCAGUUUUAUAACCAGAAAUUCAGUUUUCCACAUUUCUGCUGAAAUUUGUGUGUUGAAAAAAAACACACCUCACAUUUUAGUGUGAAUUUAUUUUAAUAAACACAUUUUUUGUAUGUAGUUUUGACAAAUAUACCAUACUUUUCCGUGUAUAAGACUAGGUUUUUUUACUUUAAAAUUAUGCAAAAAACUAUGGGUCAUCUUAUACACGGGGCAAUCUCCCCCCCCCAUUUUCUUAAAUUAGAGUGCCUAAAAAUAGGGGGCGUCUUAUAUAUGGGGGCAACUUAUACACAGAAAAAUACUCUUUUUUUGCAAAAAUAGCUUACAAAAAUACAUUUAAACAAUUAAAAACGCAACCACCACCAAUGUUACAGAUAUCAACAAAUGGUAUUGGGCAGUAGGAUCAGUGCUAUUCAUCUGGGAAAGCUUGAGCAAACAAUAUAGUUUUUAGUAAAAGUCAGACGCCCCAGUCCUAGGUGGGAGAGUGUUCCAGAGGGAAUGUUACCACCAGGUGGCCUUGCACAGCUCAGGCACCAUCAGCAAGGCCUCCUCUGACAAUCUCAGUGAUCUGCCGAAUGCAUAUAGAGGAAGGGUGGGGAAUCUCACCCAUGCAGGUGGCCUUAGGGCACUUAGCAAUGACCUUAGGGCACUUAGCCAGAAGCAGGAAGUGAGUGGAGUGAGAGAAGCGAAAAGGAAGUACUUCAGUGGAUACCAUUUUCACAUGUAUACUGUGAGCAGGGCCAGAUUUAGGUUUCAUGAGGCCCUAAGCUACUGAAGGUAAUGGGGCCCUUUUAUAUGUCCAGCUGUUCUUUGUCAGCAACAAAUUGCCGCUGUAUUUUGUGUUUAAUGUAUGCUAGAAUCAUAAUAAUAAUUUAUUUAUACCCCGCCCAUCUGGCUGGGUUUCCCCAGCCUCUCUGGGCGGCUUCCAACAGAAUAUUAAAAUACAAUAGUCUAUUAAACAUUAAAAGCUUCCCUAAACAGGGCUGCCCUCAGAUGUCUUCUAAAAGUCUGGUAGUUGUUUUUCUCUUUGACAUCUGGUGGGAGGGUGUUCCACAGGGCGGGUGCCACUACCAAGAAGGCUCUCUAACGUGGCUUCUCGCAGCGAGGGAACACCAGAAGGCCCUCGGGACUGGACCUCAGUGUCCAGGCAGAAGGAUGGGUGUGGAGACACUCCUUCAGGUAUACUGGACUGAGGUCGUUUAGGGCUUUAAAGGUCAGCAGCAACACUUUGAAUUGUGCUCAGAAACGUACUAUAUGGUAAUUUAUGGACCUAAUAGGUAUCUAAAGCCAUUUGCUGUAUCUAGAUUUUAUUUUAUUUGUUUUUCAUCUUCUAUUUUGGAAAUGUGCAUCCAGUUUUUUUCCUUUAAUUUUUUUGGGCCCCACCAAGAGAGUGGGGCCCUAAGCUAUAGCUUGUUUAGCUUAUAUGUAAAUCCGGCCCUGAUGGUAGGCAGGAACAUGAAAACCAGUGGUCCUUACACAAGCACAGCCCUUCAUUCAUGCAAGCGAGAAAGUUCAUUGCAGUCGAAGGAUACAAUUUCAGCCUGGCAAAAGUCACUAAGGGAGGGGUGGUGGAGGGUCAGUGAGGGGUCCAGGAGGCAGGGCAGCCUGGGGGCAGGAGGGCCUGAGGUUCCCCAUCCCAGAUAUAGUAGAAGGCAAUCGUUUAGGUAACCUGGUUCUAAUUUUCCUAAUUUCCCCCCCAGAAACUUUCCACCAGCUGUGUGUGCCAGUGCCAAGGUGUGGAGGUUGCCCUCAGCCGCUGUGGUGGCCGCAAUCCUUGUACAAAAGAAUAGCCGACAACCAAUUCCACACCUUGAUAACCAAGGCUGCCUCCUCUCCUGUUGCAUCAUGGAUUCCGCCUCUUUCCGGUCUGAACAAUCAUUACGUUCUGAUCAGCUCCCAUCCAGAGGCGCAGAUCCCAGGGAGCUGGCUCAGGUCCACCCAAAAGACACAGCCAGGAGACUUGGGAAGGAGCCAGACAAAAAUAGCCAAGAACCACAGGGCCUGAUGAGGCUCCGCCAUCCCCUGAGAGCACUGGCCAAGUUAAGAGCAGAUGUCCACUGUCGGUGCCUGAGGUCUUCUGCCCCCCCAGUCGAAACGUACUAUACUCAACUCAACUGGCCACAAGGAGUGCUACAGAGGUGGGCAAAGGAGAAGGAGGACAGGGAGAGAAAUCUUUGCCUGGAUGACUGCCAAGACGCAGCCGUCAGGAGAAGCAACACAUUGGACGAAGCCCCUGAGGAACAUCCGUCGGGGUAUGGGGAGUUGGAGGCUAAGGAAAGCGACUCCUGAAGUACCUAGCACUGAAAUGAAACCCUGACGCAGGUGCUUGGACAAAAAACAAUCGUGAUAAUAUUGCCUGGUGUGGCAAGUACAUAGUAAAGAAUUUUCUGGUUUCUGUA